This 125-nucleotide non-coding RNA is filed under the name Prolemur simus (greater bamboo lemur). Its description in RNAcentral is "U4atac minor spliceosomal RNA (ENSPSMG00000022733.1)". It matches the Rfam family "U4atac minor spliceosomal RNA". Rfam says of the family: U4atac is an essential component of the minor U12-type spliceosome complex which is required for removal of the rarer class of eukaryotic introns (AT-AC, U12-type). The record is from Rfam by way of RNAcentral. Lineage: Eukaryota; Metazoa; Chordata; Mammalia; Primates; Lemuridae.
ACCACCCUUUUCUUGAGGUAGUGCUACUAAUGAAUGAGGAGUGAGGGCAGUACUGCUGCUAAUGCCUAUACAACAUGCCCACAUCAACUAGAGCUUUGCUCUACUUUGGUGCAAUUUUUGGAAAG